RNAcentral lists this ribosomal RNA (120 nucleotides) under Helianthus annuus (common sunflower). The record is from RNAcentral. Lineage: Eukaryota; Viridiplantae; Streptophyta; Magnoliopsida; Asterales; Asteraceae.
GGUUGCGAUCAUACCGGCACUAAUGCACCGGAUCCCAUCAGAACUCCACAGUUAAGCGUGCUUGGGCGAGAGUAGUACUAGGAUGCGUAACCCCCUGGGAAGUCCUCGUGUUGCAACCCC